GAGAAAGUGACAGCACCGCCCAAC
Molecule: non-coding RNA, 24 nt
Filed under: Arabidopsis thaliana (thale cress)
Lineage: Eukaryota; Viridiplantae; Streptophyta; Magnoliopsida; Brassicales; Brassicaceae
Source: RNAcentral